Non-coding RNA from Caenorhabditis brenneri, 72 nucleotides. The record is from the annotation of a GenBank genome assembly. Lineage: Eukaryota; Metazoa; Nematoda; Chromadorea; Rhabditida; Rhabditidae.
GACCACUUGGCCUAGUGGUUAGCGCUUUUGCUUCCCAGUAUUAUGAGGCGAGUUCGAUUCCGGCAGAGGUCG